RNAcentral lists this ribosomal RNA (1460 nucleotides) under uncultured organism. RNAcentral describes it as "SSU rRNA". It matches the Rfam family "Bacterial small subunit ribosomal RNA". The record is from RNAcentral.
UGAACGCUGGCGGCAGGCCUAACACAUGCAAGUCGAACGGUAACAGGAAGCAGCUUGCUGCUUUGCUGACGAGUGGCGGACGGGUGAGUAAUGUCUGGGAAACUGCCCGAUGGAGGGGGAUAACUACUGGAAACGGUAGCUAAUACCGCAUAACGUCGCAAGACCAAAGAGGGGGACCUUCGGGCCUCUUGCCAUCGGAUGUGCCCAGAUGGGAUUAGCUAGUAGGUGGGGUAACGGCUCACCUAGGCGACGAUCCCUAGCUGGUCUGAGAGGAUGACCAGCCACACUGGAACUGAGACACGGUCCAGACUCCUACGGGAGGCAGCAGUGGGGAAUAUUGCACAAUGGGCGCAAGCCUGAUGCAGCCAUGCCGCGUGUAUGAAGAAGGCCUUCGGGUUGUAAAGUACUUUCAGCGGGGAGGAAGGGAGUAAAGUUAAUACCUUUGCUCCUUGACGUUACCCGCAGAAGAAGCACCGGCUAACUCCGUGCCAGCAGCCGCGGUAAUACCGAGGGUGCGAGCGUUAAUCGGAAUUACUGGGCGUAACGCGCACGCCGGCGGGUUGUUAAGUCAGAUGUGAAAUCCCCGGGGCUCAACCUGGGAACUGCAUCUGAUACUGGCAAGCUUGAGUGCUCGUAGAGGGGGGUAGAAUUCCAGGUGUAGCGGUGAAAUGCGUAGAGAUCUGGAGGAAUACCGGUGGCGAAGGCGGCCCCCUGGACGAAGACUGACGCUCAGGUGCGAAAGCGUGGGGAGCAAACAGGAUUAGAUACCCUGGUAGUCCACGCCGUAAACGAUGUCGACUUGGAGGUUGUGCCCUUGAGGCGUGGCUUCCGGAGCUAACGCGUUAAGUCGACCGCCUGGGGAGUACGGCCGCAAGGUUAAAACUCAAAUGAAUUGACGGGGGCCCGCACAAGCGGUGGAGCAUGUGGUUUAAUUCGAUGCAACGCGAAGAACCUUACCUGGUCUUGACAUCCACGGAAGUUUUCAGAGAUGAGAAUGUGCCUUCGGGAACCGUGAGACAGGUGCUGCAUGGCUGCCGUCAGCUCGUGUUGUGAAAUGUUGGGUUAAGUCCCGCAACGAGCGCAACCCUUAUCCUUUGUUGCCAGCGGUCCGGCCGGGAACUCAAAGGAGACUGCCAGUGAUAAACUGGAGGAAGGUGGGGAUGACGUCAAGUCAUCAUGGCCCUUACGACCAGGGCUACACACGUGCUACAAUGGCGCAUACAAAGAGAAGCGACCUCGCGAGAGCAAGCGGACCUCAUAAAGUGCGUCGUAGUCCGGAUUGGAGUCUGCAACUCGACUCCAUGAAGUCGGAAUCGCUAGUAAUCGUGGAUCAGAAUGCCACGGUGAAUACGUUCCCGGGCCUUGUACACACCGCCCGUCACACCAUGGGAGUGGGUUGCAAAAGAAGUAGGUAGCUUAACCUUCGGGAGGGCGCUUACCACUUUGUGAUUCAUGACUGG